CCUGGUGGCUCUGAAGGUAAAGAAUCUGCCUGCAAUGCAGGAGACCAUGGUUCAAUCCCUGGGUCAGGA
RNAcentral lists this transfer RNA (69 nucleotides) under Bos taurus (domestic cattle). It matches the Rfam family "tRNA". Rfam says of the family: Transfer RNA (tRNA) molecules are approximately 80 nucleotides in length. Their secondary structure includes four short double-helical elements and three loops (D, anti-codon, and T loops). Further hydrogen bonds mediate the characteristic L-shaped molecular structure. tRNAs have two regions of fundamental functional importance: the anti-codon, which is responsible for specific mRNA codon recognition, and the 3' end, to which the tRNAs corresponding amino acid is attached (by aminoacyl-tRNA synthetases). tRNAs cope with the degeneracy of the genetic code in two manners: having more than one tRNA (with a specific anti-codon) for a particular amino acid; and 'wobble' base-pairing, i.e. permitting non-standard base-pairing at the 3rd anti-codon position. Lineage: Eukaryota; Metazoa; Chordata; Mammalia; Artiodactyla; Bovidae. RNAcentral also lists the same sequence under 5 other names. The record is from Rfam by way of RNAcentral.